GAUGAAGAACGUAGCGAAAUGCGAUAAGUAGUGUGAAUUGCAGAUUUCAGUGAAUCAUCGAAUCUUUGAACGCACAUUGCGCCCUUUGGUAUUCCUUAGGGCAUGCCUGUUCGAGCGUCAUUUAAACCUUCAAGCUAAGCUUGGUGUUGGGUGACUGUCCGCUUCACUGCGGACUCGCCUCAAAAUUAUUGGCGGCCGGUACAUUGGCUUCGAGCGCAGCAGAAACGCGAACUCGGGCCCGUCGUAUUGGCUCCCAGAAGCUAUCUUCACAAUUUUGACCUCGGAUCAGGUAGGGAUACCCGCUGAACUUAAGCAUAUCAAUAAGCGGAGGA
Molecule: unclassified non-coding RNA, 332 nt
Filed under: soil metagenome
Description: partial contains 5.8S ribosomal RNA, internal transcribed spacer 2, and large subunit ribosomal RNA
Rfam family: 5.8S ribosomal RNA (bases 1-120)
Source: RNAcentral